RNAcentral lists this ribosomal RNA (300 nucleotides) under uncultured Lactobacillus sp. Its description in RNAcentral is "bacterial SSU rRNA". The stretch from base 52 to 300 matches the Rfam family "Bacterial small subunit ribosomal RNA", at positions 547 to 795 of the family's 1533-position model. The record is from RNAcentral. Lineage: Bacteria; Bacillati; Bacillota; Bacilli; Lactobacillales; Lactobacillaceae.
GGAAAUUAAGGAGAGGUGGGUGGGGAGGUGCGUAGGUGGAAAGAGGGGUGCGGAAGUAGAGGGCUGAAGGUGAGCGGAGUCGGUGUUUUAGAUAGUAUGUGAAAUGCAAGGGCGUAACAGAGGAGUGUCAUGGGAAAUUGGAGAACUUGAGUGCAGAAGAGGAAAGUGGAAUUGCAUGUGUAGCGGUGAAAUGCGCAGAGAUAUGGAGGAACACCGGUGUCGAAGGCGACGUUCUGGUCUGCAACUGACGCUGAUGUGCGAAAGCGUGGGGAUCAAACAGGAUUAGAUACCCCGGUAUUC